GAUGAACGCUGGCGGCGUGCUUAACACAUGCAAGUCGAACGAUGAAGCCCAGCUUGCUGGGUGGAUUAGUGGCGAACGGGUGAGUAACACGUGAGUAACCUGCCCUUAACUCUGGGAUAAGCCUGGGAAACUGGGUCUAAUACCGGAUAGGAGCGCCUACCGCAUGGUCGGUGUUGGAAAGAUUUAUCGGUUUUGGAUGGACUCGCGGCCUAUCAGCUUGUUGGUGAGGUAAUGGCUCACCAAGGCGACGACGGGUAGCCGGCCUGAGAGGGUGACCGGCCACACUGGGACUGAGACACGGCCCAGACUCCUACGGGAGGCAGCAGUGGGGAAUAUUGCACAAUGGGCGCAAGCCUGAUGCAGCGACGCCGCGUGAGGGAUGACGGCCUUCGGGUUGUAAACCUCUUUCAGUAGGGAAGAAGCGAAAGGGACGGUACCCGCAGAAGAAGCACCGGCUAACUACGUGCCAGCAGCCGCCGUAA
This 482-nucleotide ribosomal RNA is filed under the name uncultured bacterium. RNAcentral describes it as "partial 16S ribosomal RNA". It matches the Rfam family "Bacterial small subunit ribosomal RNA", at positions 28 to 523 of the family's 1533-position model. The record is from RNAcentral.